AUAAAACCAAGUACUUGCUCAUGCUCAACCCGAUAUGGGCAAAGUAAAGUCUCUGAGCAUUUACUCAAAACCGUAUGAAUAAAACGAUACUUUGCUCAGAGUAAGUUCGAAUUUCGAACAUAGCUUUUACUCUGUCAAAAAUGUUGUUUUGUUUUGGCCCGCGAGGAAGAAGAAUCCCAGCGGUGCAAAAAAAAGUAUCUUUGAGGAUCUUUAUGUUGUUGCCGGUUGCUGGGGCCAUACAACAACCCGGCGGUGUUCCGUCCGCGAAUAGAUUCUACCUUGCGCCGCAUAAGCCACCGAUGGAUGCAGCAGAUUCGUACGCAAAGCUCCCAUCGAUUGGCAUUGAGCCAACAGGUGCGCAAGUGCAUGAAAUCAAGCGAUACGAGUCUCUAUGGCGCAGCACAAUUGAUAAGAUCACGGAAACCUCAAUAUCAAAACCAGUUGACCGGAUUAGCCGCUAGUGAAGGAGGUUCCACGAGUCAAAGCAAUGGGUCCGUAUCAAAUGUUACAAAUGUCGUGGAGCCCUGACUGAAACAAUAAAUAGAAUAUGCUGCAGAACUCAA
Molecule: long non-coding RNA, 563 nt
Organism: Aedes aegypti (yellow fever mosquito)
Lineage: Eukaryota; Metazoa; Arthropoda; Insecta; Diptera; Culicidae
Exons: 2
Source: RefSeq, a predicted model, not a curated record